GUGAAGCGGCAACAGCUCAAAUUUGAUCUCUGGCUUCGGCCCGAGUUGUAAUUUGCAGAGGAUGUUUUUGGCGCGGUGCCUUCCGAGUUCCCUGGAACGGGACGCCACAGAGGGUGAGAGCCCCGUCUGGUUGGACACCAAGCCUGUGUAAAACUCCUUCAACGAGUCGAGUAGUUUGGGAAUGCUGCUCUAAAUGGGAGGUAAAUCUCUUCUAAAGCUAAAUACCGGCCAGAGACCGAUAGCGCACAAGUAGAGUGAUCGAAAGAUGAAAAGCACCUUGAAAAGGGGGUUAAACAGUACGUGAAAUUGUUGAAAGGGAAGCGUUUAUGACCAGACUUGUGCCGUGUGGCUCAUCCGGGGUUCUCCCCGGUGCACUCCACACGGUUCAGGCCAGCAUCGAUUCUCGCUGGGGGAUAAGAACUGUAGGAACGUGGCCCUCUUCGGAGGGUGUUAUAGCCUAUGGUACGAUACCCUGGCGGGGAUCGAGGACCGCGCUUCGUGCUAGGAUGCUGGCGUAAUGGUCAUUAGCGACCCG
This 535-nucleotide ribosomal RNA is filed under the name Apiosporopsis sp. 11Af2-1. Its description in RNAcentral is "eukaryotic LSU rRNA". It matches the Rfam family "Eukaryotic large subunit ribosomal RNA", at positions 93 to 651 of the family's 3401-position model. The record is from RNAcentral. Lineage: Eukaryota; Fungi; Ascomycota; Sordariomycetes; Diaporthales.